GGUUAAGCGACUAAGCGUACACGGUGGAUGCCCUGGCAGUCAGAGGCGAUGAAGGACGUGCUAAUCUGCGAAAAGCGCCGGCGAGGUGAUAUGAACCUUUGACCCGGCGAUGUCCGAAUGGGGAAACCCAGUGCAAUCCGUUGCACUAUCGUUAACUGAAUACAUAGGUUAACGAGGCGAACCGGGGGAACUGAAACAUCUAAGUACCCCGAGGAAAAGAAAUCAACCGAGAUUCCCCCAGUAGCGGCGAGCGAACGGGGAGCAGCCCGGAGUCUGAAUCAGCUUGUGUGUUAGUGGAACGGUCUGGAAAGUCCGACGGUACAGGGUGAUAGUCCCGUACACGAAAGCACACUUGCUGUGAACUCGAAGAGUAGGGCGGGACACGUGGUAUCCUGUCUGAAUAUGGGGGGACCAUCCUCCAAGGCUAAAUACUCCUGACUGACCGAUAGUGAACCAGUACCGUGAGGGAAAGGCGAAAAGAACCCCGGCGAGGGGAGUGAAAAAGAACCUGAAACCGUGUACGUACAAGCAGUGGGAGCCUCUUUAUGGGGUGACUGCGUACCUUUUGUAUAAUGGGUCAGCGACUUAUAUUCUGUAGCAAGGUUAACCGUAUAGGGGAGCCGAAGGGAAACCGAGUCUUAACUGGGCGUUAAGUUGCAGGGUAUAGACCCGAAACCCGGUGAUCUAGCCAUGGGCAGGUUGAAGGUUGGGUAACACUAACUGGAGGACCGAACCGACUAAUGUUGAAAAAUUAGCGGAUGACCUGUGGCUGGGGGUGAAAGGCCAAUCAAACCGGGAGAUAGCUGGUUCUCCCCGAAAGCUAUUUAGGUAGCGCCUCGUGAACUCAUCUUCGGGGGUAGAGCACUGUUUCGGCUAGGGGGCCAUCCCGGCUUACCAACCCGAUGCAAACUACGAAUACCGAAGAAUGUUAUCACGGGAGACACACGGCGGGUGCUAACGUCCGUCGUGAAGAGGGAAACAACCCAGACCGCCAGCUAAGGUCCCAAAGUCAUGGUUAAGUGGGAAACGAUGUGGGAAGGCACAGACAGCCAGGAUGUUGGCUUAGAAGCAGCCAUCAUUUAAAGAAAGCGUAAUAGCUCACUGGUCGAGUCGGCCUGCGCGGAAGAUGUAACGGGGCUAAACCAUGCACCGAAGCUGCGGCAGCGACGCUUAUGCGUUGUUGGGUAGGGGAGCGUUCUGUAAGCCGUUGAAGGUGUCCUGUGAGGGGUGCUGGAGGUAUCAGAAGUGCGAAUGCUGACAUAAGUAACGAUAAAGCGGGUGAAAAGCCCGCUCGCCGGAAGACCAAGGGUUCCUGUCCAACGUUAAUCGGGGCAGGGUGAGUCGACCCCUAAGGCGAGGCCGAAAGGCGUAGUCGAUGGGAAACAGGUUAAUAUUCCUGUACUUGGUGUUACUGCGAAGGGGGGACGGAGAAGGCUAUGUCAGCCGGGCGACGGUUGUCCCGGUUUAAGCAUGUAGGCGGAGGUUCCAGGUAAAUCCGGUACCUUAUUAACGCUGAGGUGUGAUGACGAGGCACUACGGUGCUGAAGUGAUAAAUGCCCUGCUUCCAGGAAAAGCCUCUAAGCAUCAGGUAACACGAAAUCGUACCCCAAACCGACACAGGUGGUCAGGUAGAGAAUACCAAGGCGCUUGAGAGAACUCGGGUGAAGGAACUAGGCAAAAUGGUGCCGUAACUUCGGGAGAAGGCACGCUGAUAUGUAGGUGAAGUCCCUGCGGACGGAGCUGAAAUCAGUCGAAGAUACCAGCUGGCUGCAACUGUUUAUUAAAAACACAGCACUGUGCAAACACGAAAGUGGACGUAUACGGUGUGACGCCUGCCCGGUGCCGGAAGGUUAAUUGAUGGGGUUAGCGGCAACGCGAAGCUCUUGAUCGAAGCCCCGGUAAACGGCGGCCGUAACUAUAACGGUCCUAAGGUAGCGAAAUUCCUUGUCGGGUAAGUUCCGACCUGCACGAAUGGCGUAAUGAUGGCCAGGCUGUCUCCACCCGAGACUCAGUGAAAUUGAACUCGCUGUGAAGAUGCAGUGUACCCGCGGCAAGACGGAAAGACCCCGUGAACCUUUACUAUAGCUUGACACUGAACACUGGUCCUUGAUGUGUAGGAUAGGUGGGAGGCUUUGAAGCGUGGACGCCAGUCUGCGUGGAGCCAACCUUGAAAUACCACCCUUUAAUGGCUGGUGUUCUAACGUAGACCCGUAAUCCGGGUUGCGGACAGUGUCUGGUGGGUAGUUUGACUGGGGCGGUCUCCUCCCAAAGAGUAACGGAGGAGCACGAAGGUUGGCUAAUCCUGGUCGGACAUCAGGAGGUUAGUGCAAUGGCAUAAGCCAGCUUGACUGCGAGCGUGACGGCGCGAGCAGGUGCGAAAGCAGGUCAUAGUGAUCCGGUGGUUCUGAAUGGAAGGGCCAUCGCUCAACGGAUAAAAGGUACUCCGGGGAUAACAGGCUGAUACCGCCCAAGAGUUCAUAUCGACGGCGGUGUUUGGCACCUCGAUGUCGGCUCAUCACAUCCUGGGGCUGAAGUAGGUCCCAAGGGUAUGGCUGUUCGCCAUUUAAAGUGGUACGCGAGCUGGGUUUAGAACGUCGUGAGACAGUUCGGUCCCUAUCUGCCGUGGGCGCUGGAGAAUUGAGGGGGGCUGCUCCUAGUACGAGAGGACCGGAGUGGACGCAUCACUGGUGUUCGGGUUGUCAUGCCAAUGGCACUGCCCGGUAGCUAAAUGCGGAAGAGAUAAGUGCUGAAAGCAUCUAAGCACGAAACUUGCCCCG
RNAcentral lists this ribosomal RNA (2777 nucleotides) under Enterobacter hormaechei. Its description in RNAcentral is "partial 23S ribosomal RNA". It matches the Rfam family "Bacterial large subunit ribosomal RNA". Lineage: Bacteria; Pseudomonadati; Pseudomonadota; Gammaproteobacteria; Enterobacterales; Enterobacteriaceae. The record is from RNAcentral.